This 1003-nucleotide long non-coding RNA is filed under the name Helianthus annuus (common sunflower). RNAcentral's name for it is "hypothetical non coding rna". The record is from RNAcentral. Lineage: Eukaryota; Viridiplantae; Streptophyta; Magnoliopsida; Asterales; Asteraceae.
UUGAGAGAUGCGAUUCUAGAGAUAAAUAAAGAGAGGAACAGGUGUUGCCCUGUCGUUGCCGGUGGCUUCGGCCGUCUAUGGCGGCGGCGGGCGUACUAUGUGCGACGCCUCUGUUGCUUUUUACCUCUGGCUUUGAUUCUUUUCAUUUGCGUCGAUGUUGGAACGAAGAAUGGAUGUAGUGGACUAUUAGGACCAAAUCUGGAACAACCAGAUACCUAAGUUGAGUUCAUUGAUUUCUUUUCAUUUCUGAAUGAUAUAAGGAUUUCCUGUGCCCGUUGUAACCAUGGCUAUACAACGGAUUCGCAUGGAUAAACGCAGCAACGACUGAGGCGAUUGAAGGUUUUAGUUGUAUAGGGGAUCGUCAAUAGUGAAUGGUUGUUUUGGCUUACUAAAGGCAUCUGAAUUGGGUCAAACAAUAGCAGCAAAUAGGGGUCGUUAUCAUGGGGUAAGCCUACGGUAGCGCGCUGUGAAACAAAAAUGGUUUUUGGGGGGUGGCGAACGACACAACGGUUCCAUUUCCAGUUAUAAUCUUCAUGCUUGCACUAUAACUUGAAUGAUGCUUUCAUGCUCACAGCCACAUUAGUCCAAAAGGGUGUGAAACACCGCCCAACGGGCAUGAGUGGGGCUUGAUGGUCAGCCGUUUAGGGCAGUGGCGAAGCUUGAGAUUUCCGGUCGGGGGUCGCAAACGUAUAUACCAAAAAUUUCUAUAAAACCGAGGGGUCAAAAACGUGUAUACCAAAAAAUUUCUAUACGAAAAUUACAUACUCUCCACUAACGAGCGAAAAGUUCGGGGGGUCGACCGCCCCCUCCCGCCACCACAAAGCUCCGCACUUGGUUUAGGGCGGGUCACAAGCAUAGGAAUGGAGUAGUUAAAAGUGUCAUUUGGUAUUGCAACUGUUCAGUUAUCAUUUGCUGAAUUUUUGUAGAUAACUUGAAUGAAUGUUUUUAACUGUACCAUAUGUUUUGUAAUAUGAGGAUUAUGCAAAGAUGCUGAAUGGUUGCC